This 305-nucleotide ribosomal RNA is filed under the name uncultured bacterium. Its description in RNAcentral is "bacterial SSU rRNA". It matches the Rfam family "Bacterial small subunit ribosomal RNA", at positions 337 to 635 of the family's 1533-position model. The record is from RNAcentral.
ACCUACGGGGGGCAGCAGUAGGGAAUUUUCGUCAAUGGGCGCAAGCCUGAACGAGCAAUGCCGCGUGAACGAGGAAGGUCUUCGGAUCGUAAAGUUCUGUUGAAGGGGAAAAAGAGCGGAGAGAGGAAAUGCUUUCUGAUUGAUAUUACCCUUCGAGGAAGUCACGGCUAACUACAUGCCAGCAGCCGCGGUAAUACGUAGGUGGCGAGCGUUAUCCGGAAUGAUUGGGCGUAAAGGGUGCGUAGGCGGCCUGCUAAGUCUGGAGUGAAAGGUACCGGCUCAACCGGUACAGGCUCUGGAAACUG